GGACUGGGAUGGGGGGUGGAGCGUGGUGCUGCCCCCUAGUGUCUGUGUGUGUCUCUGUCCCCAGCACGCGGGAGCCCCCCAAUCUCUCCCCCCAGCAGCAGAAACGGGACCUUUACCGCCGGAUCCGCUCCCACAUCUGGAAGCAGCACGGCCGUGCCCCGGUUCACGGAUGGAGCCCCCCGGCCAUCCCCCAGGUAAUUGCUCCCCAGGGCACCAGGAGCAGGAGGGGUGGGGGUGGAGGGGGGGCAGUGAUUGGGAUGCACCGUCCCUUUAAGUCCCCAAGGCUGGGUCGGGAUGAGGUUGAGGGGGUCCCCGCCUGCCCCCACGGCGGUGCCCAGGUCUCUCUCGUUGCAGGUUCGGGCGGAGCAGGCUGAGGGCCAGGAUCUGCCCAUGCUGGCACAGCUGCGGCUGCUGGACCAGAAAGAUCCCAGCACCAAGCUGUGGUGUGCUGUUGGGAUGGGGGUGCCUAGAACGGACAGCGGCGACUCGGGGGCGCCCUGGCCUGCCCCCCCCAGCCUGCUGUGGGUCUGCUCUGGGACGCACUCGGCCAGCGAGGUCACGGUGAUGGACGCUGCCCGCGCCAACCUUGUCCUGGCGCAGUUUGUGCUGCCCAACGCCCAUGUGCUGUGUGCCGCCUGGCUGCCCGGUCACCGGCCACCCAGUGCCGAGAGCACAAAGCUGGAACCCGAGAUCCUGGAAGACCCCUUGGCCCCUGACCCCCCAGAGCCAGAGGAGGAGGCGGGGACCCUGGAGGCGGACAGUGAUGCCAUUGGCACCAUGGACACUGUCUGGCUGGGCACCCAGGAGGGCAGCAUUUCCAUCUACUCGGCCGUUUCCGACUGGCGCCGGUGCCUGCGAACGGUGCAGCUGCAGGACGCCGUGCACAGCGUGGUCCACACCCAGGGCCGCGCAGUGACUGCGCUGGGGAAUGG
Long non-coding RNA from Gopherus agassizii (Agassiz's desert tortoise), 932 nucleotides. The record is from Ensembl. NCBI's taxonomy places the organism in Eukaryota, Metazoa, Chordata, Testudines, Testudinidae.